ACCGCACGUGAGAUCGCGCAACUAACAUAACAGAUAUCUUCUCUUAGCUGUGCAUUAGUUUGUUUUUAAUAGCUUCAAAAGGAUUUCUUUUCGCUAUUUAUUAGAUGUGCAAGAUCAUCAGGGAAGGUCUUUACAAACUGAAACCAUAACCUUGUUCUAAUCUCGACUCUACACUGUUGCUGUGGAAACGGUGACUUCUGUGAAUCCACCGCGAUGAUAUUGUGGUGGCUUCUGGUAACAAUCAACUGGGGACCAGUUUAUGGUGAAAACCACCAGCCAGCUCUACGAUUUGUGAUAGAGCCUCCAUAUCGGGUUGAUUUCUACAACUCCAACGGGACUGUUAUUCCUUGUUCCGCAUCAGGAGAGCCUUUACCUAUCACCGUAAACUGGGAGUCACAUGAUGGUGCGUAUGUGACAAAUAUUACGGGACUCCGGAGCGUUAGGCCGGAUGGCAAGCUCGUUUUCCCACCGUUUUCAGCCAAGGAUUACCGCCAGGAUAUCCACGCCACCACGUACAGGUGCGUACUGUCCAACUCCGUGGGAAAGAUAUCAAGCAGAGACGUUCAUGUUUUAGCAGUGGUUCACCAGGAUUACAAUGUUCAGGUUGUAAAUGGAUAUUCAAUUCAAGGUAACAUAGCAGUAUUGAGGUGUAACAUUCCGAGUUUCGUUAAGGAUUACGUCACAGUGACAUCAUGGAAGAGAGGGGACAAUCUGAAGAUUAUAUCUGAUUUUGAGACAGGAGGACGCUACCUGGUCUUUCCAACGGGGGAGCUACACAUCCAAAAUGCUUGUGCUAAAGAUGGAUUCACUACUUACAGUUGUACUACAAGAAAUAGCAUGAGGGGAGAAGUGAAAUCCAGUAGAUCGUUUGGCAAGUUAGUGGUAUCAGAUGACAAAAGUAACAGGCCGCCAAGAAUCAACCACAGUCAAACUCGAGUGGGCAUUGAGAUUGGUCAAGAUGUGGUUCUUCCCUGCGCUGCACAAGGAUUUCCUCCUCCAAUUUACAUGUGGUACCGGUACACAAAUGACAUUUACCCUAAGACGGUCCCUGUAGUUUAUGAUGCUCGUUUGGUUAAGAUAGGAGGAUCUUUAUUAUUACGAAAAGUGACACCAGAGGACUCGGGGAAAUAUGUUUGUUUGGUGAAAAAUAAUAAUGGACAAGAUAAAACAGAAAUAAACCUGACAGUAAGAGAGAACCUUCACGUCAGUGUAGUUCCUGUGGUACACACCGUUGACGUUGGCAAGUCUGCUGUCUUCCAGUGCAACGUUUCGGGACAGCCAGUGACUUUUCUCACGUGGAAGAAGGAUCACGAGCACCUAACACACAUAAACAGGAGAGUCCAUUUUGUGUCCGAAACAGUUCUUGAAAUACGUCAUGUCCAAAGACAAGAUAAAGGUCUUUACCAGUGCUUUGUGUGUAAUGACAAGGAUUGUGCUCAAGGGACAGCUGAACUCAAACUAGGAGAUAUUACCCCAAUAUUAAAGGAAUCCUUCAGAUCUGUGACCCUGGAACCUGGAUCCAUCUUAUCUCUGAAGUGCAUAGCAUCCGGAAACCCACUUCCUGAAGUCCGAUGGACCCUGGACGACUAUCCUAUACCUGGACACAUUCGAUUUUCCGUGGGUGACUUUGUGACUUCCAAAGCAGAAGUAGUAAGUUACGUUAAUGUUACGCACGUCCGGGUAGAAGAUGGUGGCUACUAUAAAUGCCAGGCAACAAAUGACGUUGGAAGUGUCUUUAACCGAGAAAAAAUUAAUGUCAUUGGACCACCGUUCGUCCGACCGAUGAAGAACACGACAGCUGUGGAAGGAAGAACAUUUUACACAAGAUGUCCAGCUUCAGGCUAUCCUGUAGAAGAAAUUAGCUGGGAACACAAUGGCAGACGAAUACCUUACAAUCACCGCCAGAGGGCUUUCAGUAAUGGAAGCCUAAUCAUCAGAAAUGUAGACCAGCGUAGUGAUGAAGGAGAAUAUUCAUGUACAGCACGGAAUCAAAGGGGUCAGCGAGGUCACGGAAAAAUGUUUGUCGACGUCUUAAUUCCUCCUAAUAUUGAGCCGUUUACCAUCCCAACGGGGUUAGAGGACGGUUCUCGAUCUAGAAUUCUUUGUUCCGUUACCAAGGGAGAUACACCCAUCCGAAUCUCUUGGUUAAAAAAUGGAAAAGCAAUUCCUCCACAUCUCGGAAUCAUUGAAUCAGCAAUCGACGAAUUUUCUACGUUCUUGACAUUUCCACAACUUCAACUGAAACAUGGUGGCAACUAUACUUGCGUAGCCAAAAAUAUCGCAGCAUUAACCAAUUAUACUGCCCGAAUGGUAAUUUAUGCGCCACCUAGAUGGAUAAAUGAACCCAGGGAUACCUCGGCGAUCUUAAAUAGUGACGUCAUUAUUAAUUGUCAAGCUGAUGGAUUCCCCAAACCAGGAAUAACUUGGAGAAAGUCAAAAGGAUCUGUUUCCAGCGAGUACGUCUCCUUACGCACAAAUGCACACAUCAAUGUCGUAACGAACGGUUCUCUAGCCAUUCGGAAAGUCGAGAAAGAUGAUGCAGGUUUUUACAUGUGUCAGGCGAUCAAUGGCAUUGGGCCCGGAAUCAGCGCAGUGGUAAAGCUGCGUAUAAAAGUGCCUGCCUACUUUGUAAAUGAAUUUAAAGCAGAAACGAUUCGAAAAGGUCACCUUCUUCAAAUAACAUGUCAAAUAUUCGGCGACCACCCUUUGACGGUCCAGUGGAAAAAAGAUGGAGAAAAUUUAGACUUCCGGUUUGACAGAAGAUAUGAUAUUACUCAAUCGCUAACCAAUGAUGGAAUGAUGUCACAACUUCAAGUACUAUCGGCGGACAGAAGAGAUUCAUCGCUAUUCACUUGCUUAGGUUCCAACAAUUUUGGGAGCGAUGAAAUGAACAUACAAAUCAUUGUACAAGAACCUCCAGACAGGCCAUCCAACAUCAGAGUAGAGCAGGUGGAAAGUAGAAAGAUAACGUUGUCCUGGUCAGCCCCUUACUCAGGAAACAGCCCAAUCACACGCUAUAUUUUGAUAUACUGGAGUGAAGAAGAUCACGAUCACCAAAAUAGGAAGGAGAUGGUAAUUCCAGCUUCACAGACUAACGUGGUGGUGAAGGGUUUACUUCCGGCUACUGAAUACCACUUCCAUCUAUUGGCUGAGAACGCUGUGGGUCGGAGCGAUUUAAGUGAGGAGAUUACAGCAACCAGUAAUAUAGAAGUACCUGGUGGUCCUCCUCAAGACGUGAGGGUGGAGGUUCUAGGAUCACAACUAGUGAGAGUAACAUGGAAGUCACCUGAACCUCACCUUACUCAUGGUCCAAUAAAGGGGUAUUAUGUGGGCUACAAGGUACAUAGGUCAUCCGAAGCUUACACGUACAAAACGAUGAACGCGAAUUUUCACGACGAAAAACUAACCUGCUUUUUGAAAAAUCUCAAAAAGCUAACUCGGUACAAAAUCAUCGUGCAAGCGUUCAACAUCAAGGGGGCUGGUCCGCCCUCUGACGAAGUUUUAUUUGUCACUUUAGACAAUGAUCCGCCGACUGCUCCCAAGCUUAAAGUGGCCUCUGUAUCGUUUACAUCCAUCCAAGUCACAUGGACUGUGCAGAGGUCCGAUAAUAUACCAAUUUCAGGUUUUAUUUUAAAUCACAAACGUGAUACCGAGAACUGGAUUAAGACACGCCUUCCUGAUGAUUCUCGGAUGUACACCUUCUACGGACUACAAUGUGGUACACGUUUUGAAUUCUUCAUUCUUGCCUUCAACGAUAUAGGAGAAAGUUUCCCUAGUAACACCAUUCAGGUGAAAACCAGGGGUGCAGCACCGUCUUCUCCUACUCAGCAUGCAUUUAUCAGUGUGAACGUGACGUCAGCUACUUUACACUUUAUGGAGUGGGAUAGUGGAGGCUGUCCAGUGUCCUAUUUUGUGAUCCAGUAUAAAGCAGAAGUUAGCAAGGACUGGAUAGUUGUCAGUGAACGGAUCUUUCCCCAAACGCUCACGUACAUAAUAGGUGGACUGACUCCAGCCACGUGGUACCAGCUACGUGUCGUCGCUCACAAUGACGCUGGCUCAACUAGAGCUGACUACAGCUAUGUUACUCUACCGUUAUCAAGUCAGACGUCGUCUACGGCGACAUCCAACUCCCUUCCUUUUUACACUAACCUCGCUAUCAUCAUCCCUGUGAUAGUUGCCUGUGUUAUUUUGGCUGUAGUUGUCGUCAUUGUAUGUAGUGUUACUCGUAGAAGACAAGGAAGAAGAGACACUAGAGGGAUGCAGAAAGAAUUCACCACGGAAUCCGUUCCCAUGUCUGAGGUCGAGAGUAAGCCUACAACAGACUGUGUUUACAGCAGACCUAAAAGUUGUCUCAACUACCCGUCCCCCUAUGCUUCUAACUGUGUUCCGUUCGACCAUCGUCAUAACUUGAGGAGUGAAGACAGCAGAAUCGAAAGGCACUCUACAGUUGACAGCAAAAGGAUUUAUGACGUUCCUUUUGCUAUGAGAGAGCCCGCCCACUCCAGUGGACUUGAUUACAGAGAGAGGAGAAAUAGCCCUGUACAUGAAACCAGCCGAGCACACUCGCAUGACAGCAACUCUAUGUACAGUUUCCCAGCAGGAAGGCCAAUUUCCCAGCCUAUGUUACGAAAUUACACGACCCACUUAUCUCAUUCCUGGUGUAACAGCGAUAUGGAUGACAACUUGACAGUUAACUUGCCCUACGAGAAGACGUCAUAUGCCACUAGGUGGCACGGAAGUUCUAAACAAGAUACACUAGCGAUCCGAAGGUCGAAGCUAGGUACUUCCACGCCCCCAGAAUACCUGACCUAGCGUUUGAUGAAGACGACGAUGAGACAGAAUUUGAUAGGGACCAAGUAUUAAACUCUUGCCCUGGAUUCUUGAAUAAGUGGGGAACGCCCUUCCACGUGGCCUUCAGUAGACAAGUUCUCCUUUACCCUAUUGAAACUGACAUCUGACCG
This 4961-nucleotide unclassified non-coding RNA is filed under the name Limulus polyphemus (Atlantic horseshoe crab). Its description in RNAcentral is "down syndrome cell adhesion molecule-like protein Dscam2, transcript variant X3". Lineage: Eukaryota; Metazoa; Arthropoda; Merostomata; Xiphosura; Limulidae. The record is from RNAcentral.